Molecule: ribosomal RNA, 230 nt
Filed under: uncultured bacterium
Lineage: Bacteria
Description: partial 16S ribosomal RNA
Rfam family: Bacterial small subunit ribosomal RNA
Source: RNAcentral
AAAGCGUGCGCAGGCGGUUUUGUAAGUCAGAUGUGAAAUCCCCGAGCUUAACUUGGGAACUGCGUUUGAAACUACAAGACUAGAGUGUGUCAGAGGGGGGUAGAAUUCCACGUGUAGCAGUGAAAUGCGUAGAGAUGUGGAGGAAUAUCAAUGGCGAAGGCAGCCCCCUGGGAUAACACUGACGCUCAUGCACGAAAGCGUGGGGAGCAAACAGGAUUAGAUACCCCAGU